Long non-coding RNA from Triticum aestivum (bread wheat), 1076 nucleotides. RefSeq lists it as uncharacterized. The record is from RefSeq and is a predicted model, not a curated record. The transcript has 5 exons. Lineage: Eukaryota; Viridiplantae; Streptophyta; Magnoliopsida; Poales; Poaceae.
GGGGGCUCCAACGGUUGGAGAUGCUCUAAUUCAUUGUAUUUGCAUGUUUCCAGCAGCCAUGUAUCAAAAAAAGCUUCAGCUUUGGGUUGUUGAUUUAGCAGCAUCAAUCAUUAAUUGUUCUGCUAUAUAUGUUCUUAACCAUGACAACCUGAUUAGGCUCUUAGUUUAUUAUGGUCUUUGUUCUGGGUGGAUCUCUGACUAUUCUGGGUUGCUCCGCUGAGGACAAGCUGCUUCUGCAGGUGGACGGGCCCUCAAGGCUGCUCUGCCUAUUCCUCCUGCUACCCCCACACGUGCAAACACAAAGCCGUCGAUGCAUUGAGGGCUCAAUGUCGUCUCCGCCGGCUGAGCGGCAAGCCGGGGUUGGGCCUGCACACCGUCUAUCAGCACCCUCCCGUGUCUCCAUUCACGGAUCUGCAGUUGAGCAUAAUAGUUUAUAGCCUGAUAGGCUUGGACAUAAUUGUCUACAUGUACUGCUCAGUAGGCGACAUCCUUUGGGAAAUUGAGGAUGUCCUCGUGCAUUUUCUAAAUACAAUUGGGGCAUAUCUGAGGAAUGAAGGGAGGAAUAAACUCGUGGGAGAGUUCGGUGCAGAGGAAGAAGAACAAGAUAUUAUUUAUUUCUUGUGUACAGUCAAGCUUGUGCAUUGUCCCACUUUCUGGGGCCAGGCAACCUUGAAUCCAACGUCCACCUGCAGGCUACAUCUCAGGUAGGAUAAAAAGAUUGCAGUGAACUUGAUGGGUAUAUCAUUAUUGUUGCCUCCUAAUUUGUGUGAUGAGCAAAUGUGUAGAUUGUGUGUAAAUCCGAGAUGCCUAAAACGGUUGGGAACUGAACUUGUUACCUCGGUUCACUUUAAUGGCAUGUUAAACUCGAUGCACUUUCUGGACUGUGACAUUUUUCCUGAAAUUUUGGAAGUGACUGCUAAUGUAGUCUAAAUAGAGUGACUGAGUAGUUACUUUCUCACAAGAGUUGACUUCCCGUUAUUGGAGUACUUGCUAAGAUGGAUUGGUGGUUUUUAUGUUAGAUGAAAAAUAUUACAUCAAUCUUUACGGCUUUUUAUGGGCAAGUGAUUCCGACUCCA